This 336-nucleotide ribosomal RNA is filed under the name uncultured Pseudomonas sp. RNAcentral describes it as "bacterial SSU rRNA". It matches the Rfam family "Bacterial small subunit ribosomal RNA", at positions 1047 to 1382 of the family's 1533-position model. Lineage: Bacteria; Pseudomonadati; Pseudomonadota; Gammaproteobacteria; Pseudomonadales; Pseudomonadaceae. The record is from RNAcentral.
GGCUGUCGUCAGCUCGUGUCGUGAGAUGUUGGGUUAAGUCCCGUAACGAGCGCAACCCUUGUCCUUAGUUACCAGCACGUUAUGGUGGGCACUCUAAGGAGACUGCCGGUGACAAACCGGAGGAAGGUGGGGAUGACGUCAAGUCAUCAUGGCCCUUACGGCCUGGGCUACACACGUGCUACAAUGGUCGGUACAAAGGGUUGCCAAGCCGCGAGGUGGAGCUAAUCCCAUAAAACCGAUCGUAGUCCGGAUCGCAGUCUGCAACUCGACUGCGUGAAGUCGGAAUCGCUAGUAAUCGUGAAUCAGAAUGUCACGGUGAAUACGUUCCCGGGCCUU